RNAcentral lists this long non-coding RNA (212 nucleotides) under Panax ginseng (ginseng). RNAcentral's name for it is "long non-coding RNA (PGIN_LNC018172)". The record is from RNAcentral. Lineage: Eukaryota; Viridiplantae; Streptophyta; Magnoliopsida; Apiales; Araliaceae.
UUAGAUGGGCUAUUUUCUGUAGCUUUGGGAAUGUUAUUGUUUCUUGAUGUUUCUGUCCUUUUGGCUUCUAAAAUCUCGGGCAUGCUUUUUUAUGUAAAAUUGUUAUUGGUUUGUUUAUUGUUAUAGUUUGUUGGGCGUCGGGCAUGUAAUCUUUUAUAGUCAUGACAUCAUAGGGUUUGUCCUAUGAUGUCUAUGCUAUAUUCUGAUUGGGG